CCUAUUCUACGGUGUUGGUGACUGCCAAUAAUGUUUUUUGAUCUAUGUUUUGUUCCUAAGGGAACCUGAAAUUGUGCGAUCGCGGUAAACCAGGCUCGCACCUGGAAACUUAAGAUUGUCAAGAAGGUGCCCACCUGGUUUUUCCAGGUCUAAAACUGAGGCAGAACGGCACAGCGGAAUAGAC
Molecule: non-coding RNA, 184 nt
Filed under: Lyngbya confervoides BDU141951
Lineage: Bacteria; Bacillati; Cyanobacteriota; Cyanophyceae; Oscillatoriales; Microcoleaceae
Description: 6S RNA
Rfam family: 6S / SsrS RNA
About the family: E. coli 6S RNA was the first non coding RNA to be sequenced, but its function was unknown until recently. It consists of 184 nucleotides that fold into an extended hairpin structure with a large single-stranded internal bulge.
Source: RNAcentral